UGAUAGAACCUUAGAUCGGAGUGGGCUAGGAGAUCCGGUGAACCUACCUUGUACAGGUGCAGAUGAGGAACUCCCGGGGCCGGCCAUGGUGACGGUGGCCGGUGAUGGCAGGGAGUGGAUGGUGGCGGUGUGUGGGCAGUGGCGGCGGCGGAGCUUCCCGUCACUGUCAGCGCUAGACCUAGAUCGGGUCGGGGUUUUCGGUGGGGAGCCUGGCAACGUGGUGAACCUCGUACUGCGUGCCGCCGGCCCCCACCUCUUUAUGUAGCGCUGCGUGACAGGGGCCCGUCAACCAUAUUGUGGUUGGGCGCCCCCGAUCAGGGCGCGGAUCAGGGGUCCGUUGGGCCGUUGGGCCCACACGGGAGAGAUCAACCUAACA
Molecule: ribosomal RNA, 376 nt
Filed under: Triticum aestivum (bread wheat)
Lineage: Eukaryota; Viridiplantae; Streptophyta; Magnoliopsida; Poales; Poaceae
Description: partial small subunit ribosomal RNA
Source: RNAcentral